UCGCAACUAUUGUUAUGUAUAUGACUUUUUUUAUCUACUGCAAAAAUCCAGAACGUACUCCGCUGUGGCUUGCACAAAUAUACAUUCGGUGGAAGCAAGAGUGAACGUUCAUUAGUACGUCGGGAACACCAAAAGGAUAAAUGACGGGUAUUAGCAUGGUGAAGUUUACCAGAUGGAUGCACAACUUUUGAAAUCUUUCCGUUUGCAGAGCUUUCCAAGAACAGGGAGAGAUUUAUGCUUGAAUACCUGUUCUGAGGAUCCACGAAGCUUCCUGUUGAGUCAGAGAGAAAAUAAUGCCACUCAGAGAGUGAGUGAGAGAAUUCGGUCUCUCACAGGAUGUGUUUGACAUUGUAGAGGAGUAUAAAUAAUGCAGAUUUUCUCUCCUCCUCUUCCUUCACGUGCUUUCUGAAGGAACAGAUUUACAGACGUUUGUGCAUUGAAUCUUUCAUUGACAUCGCUCUCGUUAAGCAACGGAGGAUUUGUUCCAAAACGGGCAUUGUUUUCAGCGUAACCUUCUAUAAACAAGUUCAAAUUAGCCGUUAACAACCUCGCGAAAUGGGACGAUUAAUUUGCGGGUUCCUGUUGGUUUUUUUGCAUUUACAUCUUUCUUUGUACCGAUUGCGGACAAUUAUGUACGGAUAUGCUAAUCGUGCUGUAUUAAUGAGAUAUUUCUGCUGUAGCAGUCCUGCCAUGGAGUGACAGAGCCAAGGAUGGGGAUUUACUAGAUGAAAAGAGAGAGAGCGAGAGAGAAUGGUUAAUAUCCUGUGCUUAAUCAUGGCACAUGAGAUUGGCUGUAUGCAUAUCUCAUUUGCAUCUCAUUAAAUUGCUCGUGCACCUGCAGAGAGAGGG
Rhinichthys klamathensis goyatoka is the source of this 849-nucleotide long non-coding RNA. RefSeq lists it as uncharacterized. Lineage: Eukaryota; Metazoa; Chordata; Actinopteri; Cypriniformes; Leuciscidae. The record is from RefSeq and is a predicted model, not a curated record. The transcript is spliced from 2 exons.